RNAcentral lists this long non-coding RNA (427 nucleotides) under Setaria viridis. RNAcentral's name for it is "long non-coding RNA (SVIR_LNC001869)". Lineage: Eukaryota; Viridiplantae; Streptophyta; Magnoliopsida; Poales; Poaceae. The record is from RNAcentral.
UUACUUCUGUCGCAAUGCACUAGCAUAUUUGCAAGUACUAUAUAAUAAAGAGCGAUGGAAUUAAGGUUAAUUCCCACCGAGAGUUAUACCCAUGUACAUCUCACAAAGGAUCCACCUGUUAGGGCAAAAUAAGGUAAAAUGGACAACCAAGGGGAGGGGGGAGACCAAAUAUUCCUAGCAUCCGUUGCAUAUUGCCACUCUACCACGUCUAAUAUUUAUGAACUUUUGUAUGGUAAAUCAUGAACAAUUCAUUCAGGUGAGGACCUUCCAAUAAAAGCCAAACAAUCAAUCAUGGUCAAUCCAGAAUAAUCAAAUCACUAAUCACACUAAGUCCCUUCCAAUUACAUCGAAACCCUUCCAAUUACGAGUCCAUAGUUCCCACCAAUCAAAUUGAUUGAUUGACAAUCAAUCACAAUUAAUCCAAAAC